This 441-nucleotide ribosomal RNA is filed under the name uncultured bacterium. Its description in RNAcentral is "bacterial SSU rRNA". It matches the Rfam family "Bacterial small subunit ribosomal RNA", at positions 339 to 796 of the family's 1533-position model. The record is from RNAcentral.
CUACGGGAGGCAGCAGUGAGGAAUAUUGCACAAUGGGCGAAAGCCUGAUGCAGCGACGCCGCGUGGGUGAAGAAGGUUUUCGGAUCGUAAAACCCUUUUCUGUGUGACGAGAGAGGACGGUAGCACAGGAAUAAGUCUCGGCUAACUACGUGCCAGCAGCCGCGGUAAAACGUAGGAGACAAACGUUAUCCGGAGUUACUGGGCGUAAAGGGCGUGCAGGCGGCAGCCUAAGUCUGGCGUGAAAUAUCCCGGCUUAACCGGGAGAGGUCGUCGGAUACUGGGCAGCUAGAGGGCGGUAGAGGCGUGUGGAAUUCCGGGUGUAGGGGUGAAAUGCGUAGAGAUCCGGAGGAACACCAGUGGCGAAGGCGACACGCUGGGCCGCACCUGACGCUAAGACGCGACAGCAUGGGGAGCGAACGGGAUUAGAUACCCGAGUAGUCC